GUGUUUGCACUAUCGGGCUUCAAGCGGGCGUGCCAGUGCCUGCCGAGGCCUGUCGCGUUUGCAUUGUCACUUCCGGGGCAUGAUCGUGCUUCACUGGUGCUUCGUUGGUGCUUAAGGCCCCGCUUUUCUGGCCCGCCGAAAUCGUUGGGCCAAAGCGGGCUUCUCGGGGCUAGGGGAGUGGUAAAGGUCUAAGGCGGAGUUUAUCUGAGUCUCUGGCAAGAUGCGCAUCCAUCUGUCUGCAGAUUUAAAACUUUAAAUAUAACCGGGAUCACCAGUAAUUGACUGUUUCACGGAAGAUGCCUGCUAUGUUUGUACUUCGGACUGAAGAAAAUGAUCUGCAUAUGUAAAAAAAAAAAAAAACACGCGUUACAACGCCGAACUCGCCAUGCUAAGGAUCCGGCGCACACCGCUACCGGUUCGGGAGAAGUUUAUAAAGUUUCGGGCACAGAACAAAGUGUUUAAAGUGCAACAGUGCUGAGAAAUUAAAGAUGUGUGUUGAAUCAUCAUUUCAUCGUCCAUCACUCCAUGUAUUAAAGCGAUCGAGUCACGAUGGUAUCUACAGUCGAAAAAUGCCAACGUAAAGCUUUCAGUUUGUCAUCCAGGAGAUUUUAUUUUGUAUAUGAGAGAUGACACAGCAACAAAUGCAAGAGUAGGUGAUGAAACGAAGAUGAUGAUGAUGAUGAGACGACAGGAGCCAUGGAUGUUGAAAUCAGUCCGGAGGAGAUGUCUUUAAAUACACUGUUUGUGCACUGAUAUAAACUUCAUAUGUAAAUAAAGUACCGCGUUAUUACUACGGCUGCUUGUCAGUUUAUUGAAAAUGAUUGCUUAAUAAUCACAUCUGAAACACAGAAAUGGUAAGAUGCCACAAAAUGGUAAAUAUAACCAUCAUUAACUUAACCACUGUAACAUAGCUUUUUAAAUACAUGUGAGUAUAUUCAGAGUUGAUUCUUAACGAGUACAUUUUCUAAUGAUUUCUCAAACGUUUUGAUUUUUGAGAUGCAAGUAAAGUGAUUUUCAGUUCUAUUCAGCUAUUCGAGGCAGUUCUUUAUAGACAAAAGUAUUUAUUGAUUGACACAUUAUUGAAAUAGCUAUUAGACAGUUACCUUGUGUUUCAUGUGAUGCUCAACUAUUAACGUUUUCAUGAUUAAAGAUAUCACACCUCUUAUAAUGUGUAAGUAUUUACAUCGCCAUAGAACUAUAAUUACAAACGUAACGUUACAUAUUUAGACACGUGCAUAUUUUAAAAUAAGAUUAUUUUACAUAAAUGUAAAACUAGGACUCCUUAUAUUCUUUAAAAUAUUGUGUAUAGGCAAUAGUAUAAUGGCACAUUAGGUAGAUGAACGCUUUAUUUGUAAUUACCACUUCAUAAAGUUUACUAUUGCUUAUUGAUCUGAUAUUGUCUCGUCGUGAGAUCGCUCGUGUGCAGCCAACAUAAACUUCCAAGAGUAACACCGCGGAUGAAGCAAACAUCUCUAUCUUCUCAUCUUGGCUUUCACCGUGCAAACAGCUGCCUCAGUCAUUUUUCAUUAUGUGUGUUGUAUGAUGAUGCGAUCUAACUCCCGUCUCCUGUCAGAUUGAAGUGACUUCCUCACGGUAAAACAGGCGGAGUUGUGUGACGUUACAUCCAGGUAGGCGUAUUAAGGGCGGGGUUUUCUGAACCGCUGCGGCGCUAUUGGCUUGACAAUGCAAACGCGUCGUGAUUUUGGCUACACAGCUGGAGGUCUGAGGCUAUUGGCUCCGUGAGGCCCGUUUGAAGCCCUGGCUCGCACAUGCCCGAUAGUGCAAAAGCGGCUAUUGUUUCCCACAACGACACGAGUCAUCAGCCGUUUUCUCAAGGUCACGUCAGAGGGGUGAUGAUGUGGAGAAGGCAGACCAGACCACCACCAUACGCGAAGAUGAGCCUUGAGGCUUGACAGUUAUUUUUUCAAACUGAGGAGUUCGGACUCCGGACCGUCAUUUCUGCUUGUUUGUACCCUGAGAUAACCAUGGUUAAUAAAUGGUCAGACACGUCACUGGCUUUAAAAUAUAAACCCCAUUGAUGCAAAAAGAUGCUGCAUGGAAUGACAAUGUGGUUUGGAACAGACUUGGUGAAGAACAUGGAAACAUCUCUUAAUAAAAUGGCCCCAAACAUCAUCAGGAGUGCAAAAGAAGGAAGUAAAAACAUCUCUACGCCAAUCUCAUUGGAGAGGAAACCACAGAAGGUCUGGUGAGGAAUGCUGCACUUAUGUUAUUGCAAGCAUUAUUUCAAGAAAAUCCCAGCUUCCUUUACUGUGUAAAUAGUGAACCCAAAGGUCCCACACCAACCAUAGUGUUCAACGGCUCUCCUGAUCUUUUCAAAUCUGAAUGUAUCAACUUUAUAAUGGACAAUGUGAACUUAAUAUGUGGAAGAAAUUGACAUCACAGGCUGUGGAAUGACUGUGUCGCAGGUCGGAGAAGCGGACCGCCCCUGUCGCGGAUCACGCUCCUCCUAGUUACACCUCGAGGAGGUCCCAAAGCACCCCAAUGACCAGACAAACCAGAGGUAAGUAAAAUAUAGAAAUAGAAACUUUAUUUAAAUUAUUUAAAACUAAAGUGGGGAAUGGGAAAGGGAAUCUAAAAAUCUCGCUUCUCGCCCUCAGGGGGAGUAUUACGGGGCCAGGGAUGUUGGAGGGGUUUCCACGUGACUCCAGCUGGAACACCGCUACAGAGCGUAUCUGGGUGGGUUGGGCACACACCGUCGCGGCGGCCCCUGAUGGCAUCCACAAAGGUCCAAGACCCUCCUAAGAUGAGUACGGACGACAAGGACACAGCACAACACUUCAAUAAAGCUUUGUGUAUUUCCGUUUCAAGAGGUUCUUACUUGACUGUUGAACAGUGUUUCUUCUCUCUCCACAGCUCCUAGCCGUAGCAGAACUACGUAUUUCAGCACCCGAAGGACUAACAACCCAGCCGGCAUCUGCAGCGUAUAUCCAACGCGAUCAAACUUCACUCUGACAAGUAACUUCCUAUACACAACCACGCCGUCCUUUCGGCCGGACCAGCCCCGCACUCUUUCCGCCCGCUACCUAGCGGUCGCCGGAUCAGCAGAGCCUGCGGACUCUUCGGAGGCUGGUCUUCGUUGUGCUGCCCAAGGCGGAAGUUGACUCGCCCGAAAAUCGACCCUUCCAGUAACUUCUACCUUCUCUCUUUAUAUCCUCCUCCCAGGCGUGGCUCGCCCAACCAUCGCUCGCCACGUCACUCACACAGCUGUGCCUUGUUUCAGCAAGUGAGGGGAUUCCCGGGGAACCCUGAAGUGCCGGUGUCUGUACAAACCGGGCCGGGCGAAACCUCUUCACUCUCCUUUUGGUUCCGCCCCGCAUAGUCACUCCGUGACAACUGUUUGCGUUUUUUUUUCUCCUCAAUGUUCAAUACCCUUUGCCAUUAAUCACACAGUGACUUUAAUUUAUAAAAUAUAUGCUUAAGUUUUAAUACCUGUACAAAACAAAUGUACAAUCAACUUGUGUAAAUUGUCAUUCUAUUUAAUAGAUUGUUCAUGAAUUGUCUUUAAAUGCAUUGUGAUUUCGGUAACACUUUACAAUAAAGUUCAUUAGUUAACAUUAGUUAAUGUAUUAACUAACUUGAACAAACCAUAAGCAAUACAUUUGUUACAGUAUUUAUACAUCUUUGUUAAUGUUAGUUAAUAAGAAUUUAAGCUUUAAUUGCUUGUUCAUGUUAGUUCAGAGUGCAUUAACUAAUGUUAACAAGAUUUUAAUAAAGUAAUUGUUGAAAUUAACAUUAACAAAGAUUAAUAAAGGCUGUAUAAGUGCAGUUCAUUAUUAGUUCAUGUUAACUUAUGUAGCUAACUAAUGUUAACUAAUGAACCUUAUUGUAAAGUGUUACCGUGAUUUCUUUUCAUAAUUUCAGACACAUGUAAAAGUUACUAAAAAUUAAUACUGCAUAUACUGUACAGUAUCUAUGCGUAAGGGAAAUAACAAAAUUUGUAAUGUAUAG
Misgurnus anguillicaudatus (oriental weatherfish) is the source of this 3969-nucleotide non-coding RNA. The record is from RefSeq and is a predicted model, not a curated record. Lineage: Eukaryota; Metazoa; Chordata; Actinopteri; Cypriniformes; Cobitidae.